AGCAUUUGCGUCAUUCAUGGGAUUUCAACUCCCAGUCAUUUCAUUCCCCUCCCACUCUCCCCCCAUUACUUCCACCCUCUCUCCUCCCUCAGUAGGACUCGUCCCUAACCCUAGCCGCCGCCUCCUUCCGAAUCUGCUUCUACCUGCCGUCGUCUCGACCAACCGCCUUUGUCACGGCGAAUCGGUGACCAUCUCGAUGAGGGAAUCCCGGUGUAUACCCAACAAAUUCAGUUUCGGUGACGAAAGCAUUUCAAUUAACAUCUGAUUUCAACUGCGGGGUGAAAGUUUCUGAAGAACUUCCUACAAAAUGGUGAACAAUUGAACCAUGUCGAAGUGGCCUGCUAGUCAACCAACAAGUUCAACGAGUGCAAGAAUCGUUUCGAGGAUGACUUUGAUGAUGAUAUGCCCAUUGCAUUAACGCAACAACAAGCUUUAAAGAUGUUCAAAGAUGUGCUAUAUUAUCAUUGUGUUGUAGAUUAUAAUGUGCGAAAAUUGUAUUUUAAUGUCGACUAUAAUUUGUUUGAUGAGGGGCAUAAGUUAUAUCCAUUCCCCAAUGGUUUAAUAGCCCAUGGGGCUAGGGUGUAACACCAACCCAGUAGCACAACGUUCACUAAGGGCAAGGAGUUAGAGUCGUUCUUGUAGGAUUCAAUUAUUUUUUGUUUUGUGUAGUAGUUUCUGUUGUAUUCUUACACUUAUUUGGUUACAUUAUUCAGGUUAAUAGUUACAUUAUUUGCUACUAA
Salvia splendens (bonfire salvia) is the source of this 740-nucleotide long non-coding RNA. RefSeq lists it as uncharacterized. The record is from RefSeq and is a predicted model, not a curated record. The transcript is spliced from 3 exons. Lineage: Eukaryota; Viridiplantae; Streptophyta; Magnoliopsida; Lamiales; Lamiaceae.